This 9877-nucleotide long non-coding RNA is filed under the name Nicotiana benthamiana. RNAcentral describes it as "long non-coding RNA (NBEN_LNC015756)". The record is from RNAcentral. Lineage: Eukaryota; Viridiplantae; Streptophyta; Magnoliopsida; Solanales; Solanaceae.
GUUCACCUAAUUAAUUGAUUAAACACAAGAAAAAUGAACGACGAGCCCUAAGUCCCAAACCAAACGCGAUGUUCAUCUUUCUUCUUCUGUUUCAACCGCGUUUGAACUCGCCAAACCUCAGGCGAGCGAGCUCAAUUUCACUUCACACGCACUUUAUCUCACCACAUCAACAAGAUUCUAACGGCUUCUGACAUUUUUUUACUCUCUCAUCUGCUUAAUUUAUUUUGGAAUUUCUAAAGAAUGAAUCCGAAAAAUAGGAGCCAUGGAUUGAUUUAAGGAUCGAUCCUCUACUUCCAUCUGUCGGGGUUCAUUCUAGAAGAGAUCGAUUUCCGGAUUUCUUGUGAAAAAAAGGAAAAUUUCGAGAAAGGGGCUAUAUAUAACGAGGGCUGGUUUCAGGUAAGGGGGGCGAUUUCUGAUAAAACUUGGGAGAGCAAAAAUGGGAGAAGAGGUUUAAGAAUUUUUGGAGGUUUCUUUUUUUGGGUUUUUCUCUUUAGAAACAUUAUUCUUCUUAUUUUCAAUUGUUCUUUUAGUUUCAUGGCAUCCGAACAGAGAAAAGGGACAUAGAGUUUUAAUUCCGAGUUUCAAAAUUUUGUUUCUUCAUAUUUUAGGGAUACAAAACAAAACACAAAAAGAAAAAAAAUUGUUUCUUUUCAUCUACUACGCUCCAAUCCGAAAAUGGAUUCCGCUAUUGGAUAUCGAUUUUAAAUCUAUUUUCUUAAGCAUGGGGAUUAUUUGAAGUGUUGAAGCUGAGAUUGAGUACUCUUUCUUCCUUUGUUUUGAGACUGAUUUUCUGGGAGUUCAUGUGUUUCAUUGAGUUGUAUUGAUGCUGUUCGUGGUGGUUAGUCCCUGCUUUGCGGUUUGUUUGAUUUUCAGUGCUGGAUUUCCGAUUGUAUAUUCACAAUCAAAGUUUAAUCGAAAGCUCAACUUUAGGUUCAUUUACUUAUUCUUUCUCUUAUUUUGUUUGUGGUGUGAUUAAAAUGUGGUAAGAACCUUAGAUUUAUUAGUUUUGCGAGUUGUUUGCGAUUUGGGUGCAGGGGUCGAUUGGUGAAUUAUUUGAGUACACUAUCUGGUAUACUUGACCUUGUUGCAACAUUUUGAGGUUGUGUUUGAUAUUUGCUCUUAGUCUUAUAUGAUUCAAUUUGGGUUUGUCAAAUAACAUGUUUAGUUGGUGAGUAAGAAUGGAUAAGUCGCAAUUUAGUUUCUGAAUUAAGCUAUUGGCAAUACGUUCACUGACGCAUUGGUUUAUUGUCUGAAUAUGCUUCUCUCUAUUGGUUUGGAUCGACUCGUUAUUAAGUACUUAAUAUGUUCGUCUUCGCUAGUAUCUGCUUGACAUUUGCCUCGAGUUGCUUCCUUUCCUCCAUGUGGAAAUGCGUUCUGAUCUUCAUGCCGUCAAAACUAUGCAUAUACUGUAUUCAUGAAGCAGUUCCUUUGAGUAUUUUGUUUGUUUUCUUGAGGUUGUAUUUGAAAUACGUUACUUAAAUCCUAAAGAUAAUUCUUACUAAUUCUUCUUGAGUUCUUAGGAUAGUAAUAUUGCCUAGGUUGAAUCUGAGGGAUCCAUGUAGUAUCAUUCCUUUAGCUUGAAUUCAUAUGCGUUGAAUCUUCUUAAUGUGGUCGGUUUUCUCAUUUGCACAAGUUCCUUUUACUGACCAGAGGUGGGUAGAGAAUUGAAGUAGUUGCUUGCUCUAUUGCUUUAAGUUUCAUGUCACAUGCGAGAAAAUGUUUAUCUCAUGGAUGACCUGGGCUCUUAUGACACAAUCAGUAUGGUGUCAUUAUUAAGUUCGAUUUGCUUUAGUUAUUUGAAGUUCUUCGUGUAGUUUAACUCAGUUACUUUUGUUAUAAUUAGAACGAAUUGCGGUGCGCCGCGCCAAAAAAAGUCACACAUUGCGUGGCCCUAUUUAAUAGUUUUUUAAAAUACUUAGAAUUCGAGUGUGCCAUUUAGCAAAUUUUCAUGGCCCUCGCAAAGUUAAGACGCGUAGUUGCUUUAGGCGCGUAUUUUAAUAAUAUUACCUUUCUAAACUCGGGUGUGCAUUUCAUGUGACCCAAAUCAAAUCUCUUUAAUAAUAUUACCUUUCUAAACUCGGGUAUGCAUUUCAUGUGACCCAAAUCAAAUCUCAAAAUGUUGAAUAAAGUGUGUUUAGGAUUGCAGGUGCAUUUUAUAUGACACGCUCCGAAGGCACGCUUUAAACGUCGUUCACCUUUCUUUUAAAUAAACAUGGUUUAAAAGUAAAAUUGGCACAUAGGCUCUUCACGUAAUGAAAUCAGACAAAUUAGAUAAAUACAAUAGUUAAGCGACCGUGCUAGAACACCGGAACCGGGAAUGCCUAACACCUUCUCCCGGGUUAACUGAAUUUUUUAUCCAAAUUUCUGGUUCGUGGACUGUUAACAGUGUCAUAAUUCCUCGGUUCGGGAUUCAACCGGUGACUUGGGACACCAUUAAUCUCCCAAGUGGCGACUCUGAAUAAUUAAUAACCAAAUCCUGUUCGAUUGUCCUUUAAUUGGAAAAAACUCCUGUAUGCCCCUUUGCGGGGGUGUAGGUGAAAAAUGGGGUGUGACAGCUCUGGCGACUCUGCUAGGGAAAAGAACCUAGAACAUUUUUUUCAUGGUUCAGAAUCGAGCUUAGAUAAAUUGUUGUAUUUGGCUAUAUCUGAUUUUCCUACAUGUUUCAUGCUUAAUGUGCUAAACAUUACAUUUUUUAUAUUAUCUGAAUUGUAUAUAAACUGUGCCGAAACCCUUCUCUCUUCACCUACAGGGAUGUGCUUACUGGCUGAGACUCCCUAUUUUGUUACUGUCAUACCCUGAAAUAAGAAAGAGGCUGGAUAAGUUGCAAAGCCAGAUGAUCUCGCAGGUUACCGGUACGCUGCCCCCUCCUCGAUUCGAGUUGUCCGCUCGGAUACACAGUCUAGAACACAUACCCAGGUUUUGAACCUAGAAUAACGUGACUUCAUGCUGGAUCCCUAGUAGGAGCGCUUAUUUAUACCAUGCUGCAUUUGACGGAGGGGACUCAACACAAGGGUUGGGUCUGUCUAGGGCUAGCAACCUGAAAUGAAAAAGACCAUCCUGAUGCAUCAUACUUGCUAUUUACAUAUAUUUGUUUCGAACAUGCAUGUUGAACGGUUUCUAAAUCUCGGGAAUGUUGGAAAAGUUGAAAAAAAAAAGAUAAAAGAGAUAAAUAACAGUUAGGGAGUUAAUUGAUCAUUUUAGGAAAAAUCAAUGCCCAAAUACUGUCGAAACUCUGUCAAAAUUUUGAGGAAAAAAAAGAAAAUAUUUUAUUUUUAAUAGUUUGUUUUACUAAAAGUAAAGGAAAAUAGAAAAAAAUAGACUUUCAUUUUUGAAAAAUUGUUUGCUGGAAAGAAAAAAGAAAAAGAGUCUUUUACUUUGGAAAAAUAGGUUGUUUUAUUGUUCGUUGAAAAAUAAAAAAAUGAGUCUUUUAUUUUUAAUUAGAAAAAAUAGGUUUUCUGUUGAAAAGAAAAAGAAAGAAAAAAAAGAGUCUUAUUUUUAAAAUAGUUUUUUAUGAAAUGCCAAAAAUAAAGAAAAGAGUCGUGAUUUUAAGUGAUUUUGAUAGUUGUUUUUGAAAUGCCAAAAAUGAAAUCAAAAGGAGUCUUGUUUCUAAAAAUAGUUUUUAUUUGUUUAUGAAAUGUCAAAAAUGAAAAUGAAAAGAGUCUUGUUUUAAAAUGGUUCGGUUAAUUUGUCCGAACUAUGCAUGGUUUGAUUCUCACAGGGCGUGAGAUACGUAGGCUCAACCCUCAUCGGGUCCAACCCUCCCUUUUAUAAAAAUAGACCAAAAAUGUUAAUAUUUUAAUUUUUAUCAUAAAUAAACGAGGUGAUACCGGUUUUAUCAAAAAUAGCUAAAUAUUCCCAAAUGGGGCGUCGGAAGGCUGACUUUGCAUAAACAGCCACCUAUGGUCAUAUUUUGACCCUCACAACCUUAAAUAUACGUCCUCGAGGCGGUGAAAAGUGGUGUUUGCAAUAUUGGGUCAUUUAUUUCAAUUUGAAAAUAAGAAAAGAAUUACAAAUAAGUUGGGUGAUGCGUUUUGUCAAAAAUAGGCAAAUGUUCCCAAACGGGGCGCCGGAAGGCUGACUUUGUAUAAACAGUCACCUCUGGUCAUAUUUUGAUUUUUGACCCUCACAUCCUUAAAAUAUUCAUCCUCGAGGCGCUGGAAGGCUGUGUUUGCAAUACCGGGUCAUUCAUUUUAAUUUGAAAAAAAACAAGAAAAAGAGUCAGUGGUCAAGUGAAUACCGUUCAGAUUUUAGGUCAAAAUUGGCAUAGGGGAAGGAAUCUGUCAUUUUGUUUUGGGGUUUGUAUUUCUUUUUAUUAGAUUAUAUAGGUCGUUUGAUUUUCGAGUCUAUAUUUCAUCGUUAAGUUGGUCAGUUUUGUUGUUAUUAUGAAAAUGAAAAAUUCCAAAAAAAUAUUUUAUUGUCGUUUACCUUUUAUUUGCAAGAACUACGCACGGUCUGAUUCAUGCGGGGUCAUGAUACGUAGGCAAUCUCCAUAAGAUUCGACCAAACCCAAAAAUAAAAGAAAAAAAGGAAAAAGAAAAAAUAGAAAAUGGAAAAGAGAAAUUGAAAAAUGGAAAAGAUGUUGUUAAUAAUAAGGACCGACUCCAUCCAUUCUAACAGGUUUUGUUUUGAAUUGUGACGAACGUUCAGGUGGUUGGUUGUGGUAAGCUGGAAACACAAGAUCCAAGGAAAAUGAUAACUGACAUCGAAGUUGUUACCAGUGCUCAAGUGACUUAGGGUCAGAGGAUUCAACAAGGGUCUACUGUCGUUGAGGAAAAUAGAACACUGAAACAACAAAUAAACAAAAUGCGUCAAGCCUGGGCCAAUGGCCAGGGGCAGCCUUCUCAUGAGUUACAAUUUGCUAUACAGAAAGAACAGUACCACUCUCCUGAAUACCACUCGUACUUGUUUGUGCUUCCUGCAAACAUCGAGAAGCCUGCCCGAAAGAGAGUACAGGAAGAAAUAACCCAAAGAGUGAAAAGAUUAGAACAACGGUUGGAAAACAUGCAAGCAUUGGCAAGUCAAAAGAGUGAUGCCUUCAAAGAUCUAUGCAUGUUCCCCGAUGUCCACUUGCCGCCUGGUUUCAAGGUUCCCAAAUUUGAAAAGUGCAAUGGACAUGGAGCCUGAAAAGGUAUUGCAACAAAUUGAGAAGUGUGGGAGAAAAUGAACAAUUGCUUAUAGCUUAUUUUGGGGAAAGCCUCUCGAGAAUAGCAUUUGAAUGGUUUAAAUGGACAUGGAGACCCCAUAGCCCACCUAACAAGGUAUUUCAACCAAUUGAGAGGUGUGGGAAAAAAUUAAGAAUUGCUUAUAGCUUAUUUUGGGGAAAGCCUAUCAGGAGUAGCAUAUGAAUGGUUUUUGGAUCACAACACAUCUUGCUGGUACGUCUGGGAUGACAUGGCAUGGGCCUUUGACAAACAGUUUCAGUACAACAUCGACAUCGCUCCAGACGGUAUUUCCCUUUCUGACCUGAAAAAGAAGCCAACAGAAAGUUUCAGGGAAUAUGCCAUCAAAUGGAGAGAGCAGGCAGCUAGAGCUAAGCCACCCAUGUAACCUGAAAAAGAAACCAACUGAAAGUUUCAGAGAAUAUGCCAUCUAAUAGAGAGAGCAGGAAGCUAGAGCUAAGCCACCCAUGGAUGACCACGAGUUAAUCACUAUCUUUCUACAGGCUCAAGAGCCAGAUUAUUUUCAAUACAUGACAUCCGCAGUGGGUAAAUCCUUCCCGGAAGCAAUCAAAAUGGAAGAAAUGGUGGAGAACGCUCAUAAGACAGGCAGAAUUAUAAGUCAAACAGCUCUCAAAGUUGCAGCUCAGGCUGUCCAAAUUGAAUCUAGUAACACGAAUGAGAGGGAUGAUGAAAUCAUGAUGAUAUCAGGGUCGAAAAGAGGUCCUAGGAGAACAUCUCGAAGGUAUGUGCAGCCUCUUAAGGUUUUCCAUGACCCCCUAAGCAUUACUAUCCACCUUCGAACCCCCCAUACUCUUUUGAUCCUUCCCAGUAUGUUGCCUAGCCAUCAAAUCACCCAAGAAAGCAAGCACGAGUGUCACAAAAUCUCCAUCAGCCUCCGCAAAAUUUUAAUUACCUUAUAACCCACAUCCAAUUCAAGGGUAUAGAAGGGAACAAAAGUUGAAAAAUAGUUUUACACCAAUAGGAGAGUCAUAUGCAAGCUUAUUUGAGAAGUUAAAACAACAUGACAUGAUUGCACCCAUUCCUCCAAAUCAGGUGGACCGACGUGCGAGAAGCUUUGACUUAUCUAAAAUGUGUGAAUACCACUCCAACGCUCUGGGGCACAAUGUGGAAAAUUGUCGGGAUUUGAAAAGGAAAAUAGAAAGAAUGAUUCAAGAAGGGGUAAUUGUGGUUAAUGACAAUGAUAGGGAGCAUGCGAAUCCUCUUGGGAACUUGCUGACUGAAGUUGAUGAUAUUGAAGUUGGUAAUGGUCUUGGCAAUAUUGAUGCAGAACUCAGUGGCUAAGAUGUCGAGCUUGGUAAUUGGAAAGACGCUUCAUCUCUUGGCUAGCUGGAGAGAAGUCUUGAUGGUUUAUUUUAUUGUCAUUUCUGUUGUCCAGGUUAUUUGCAGGGUUGUAAUCCAAAUAUUGUCUUGUGUUCAAACCCUCCUAUCCUUUCAUUUUUUGUCUAGCGUGUUUAGUCGUAGUGGUUUGGCUAGAGUUGUCUAGGUUUGUUUCAGUUCAUUCUAAGGUUGCACUCCAGUUUGUAUUGUUUUGUUUUGUUAUUCGAAUUGUUUCAUCGUUUGUCUAAUGCAAAUUCCAAUAAUUUGUUACUCCUAGUCACUUUCUUUGUUUAGUUCUUUUCUAUCCUUUUAUUUUGUCCUUUACUGGUUCUAGUAACAUGAUAUGCACGCAUAAUUCUCUGACUGACCUUUAAAAGCUACCAUAGUCGGGAAACAAUGAAACCAUUUUGAAGAAAACGAGGGCAUUUGAGGAAAUAAGAAUAGAUUUGGACGCUGUGAGAUUGUUUGGCGCCCGAACCAUGUGAAACUGGGGCAAGUAAAACAUGAAAAUCCCCGCAAAAGCAAGUUGGCCAAAUUGAAAGGGGACCGGUCGUGGUAAUAAGAGUAAGAGUGUUGCUCAAGUUAUAUCUGACAAAUGUAGAAGGGAAAUGUGUUAAAUGGCCGUCAAUUCCGAUACCGUCAAGAAAUGAUUUAUGUAUUCUGAUUGCACUUGUUUGUAUUUGGCGUAUUUUGAAGUCUGAAAUGACGAAGGCAUUUUGUUAAGCUAUCUAAAUACUUUACCCUUUUGUGACCCUCUUUGAGCUUUAUUUGUAUUCUUUCAUACCCCUAUUUCGAAAUCAAUAGCACAAUCAAUGAAACGCAAAUGCCAAAAAUAAGUAAAUGGAAAAAGAGAGAAAAAGAAAAGGAAAGAAAGGAAAAAGAAAAAUAAAAAGGAAGAAGAUAAAAGGAUAAAGAAAUGAACAAAAGGAAAAGAAAACAAAGAAAAGAAAAGAAAAGAAAAGAAAGACAGAGAAGAAAGAAGAUAAAAAAUGAAGAAAAGAAAGGAAAAAGCAAGAAAUACAGAAAGAAAAGAAGAGAAAGAAAAUCAAAACAACAUAGUUUCUAUGACGUGAACUACGUUUGACUUGAUCCCAAAAGGGUACGUAGGUAGUCUCUCUGAGGUUCAGUCAUACCAAAAUAAAAUUCCAAAAGCCCCCAAGCAAGAAACUAGGGCAGAAGUUGUGAUUGUUGAAAUAAAUCGGAUUCCGAAAGUUGUAGUUUUAACCCCAUUUUGAAUUGUUUUGAGCCUUUAUAUCCUUUAUUUCUAACCCUAUCCAAAAGCCCACAUUACAGCCCAAAUGAAGACCUUCCGAUCAGUCUUUAAGAAAUGUCUGGUCAAGCAGGUGAUAGUAAUUCGUAUCAGGGGCAACACUCUGGUCCAAACAAGGAAAGUAAAAGUUAAAGAAUCUUCGUGAUGAGAACCUUUAUGGGCACCGCAAGGUGAUGAAGUUGAGAGAAAAGAAACAAAAUGAGAGAUUCUUAUUGGUGAAAACCUUCACAGGCACCUUGAGGCAAUGGUAAGUUGAGAGAAAAAACAAAUGAGAGAGGUUUGACGGUGAAAACCCUUUGGGCACUACAAGCCGAAUAAGAAAUGCGAAUCAAAUUGGGUAAGUAGAGCAUUGAAGCCCAGUUUCACAGCGAAAGGUACAACAAGAGCUGAACGUCAGAAUUGAUUGAUAGAAUAUCUAUAAAUGCAUGUCAUGGUCGUUAGAGUUGGUAUCCACAUUCGAUAAGUUUCUACUUUAGGACUCAUCUCUUUCCUUUUCCUUCACUCCGUUCCUCUGUUUUGUUCAUUUCAUCUUUCUGAGUCUGUCGGUUAUAACAAGUGAGAAAUGACUUCAAAAUCGGCCACCAGCUAUCUAAUUGCACAAAAAUGGGAUUUGGCUAGCGUAUCAAAGUGUCACAAGUCAAGAAAAACAACAAGUGCACUGAGCUGGUAAUACUCAACAUGCUUUGGGGGAGAAAUAAAAUUCAAGGUCAAUGGGCCAAGGGGCUCAAUUUAGAAGUACAACAUACUGUGGGUAAUAAUCAACAUGCUUUGGGGUGAGGCACAAGAAUUGGUUAAAAUCAGUACAGAAAUAGUGCAACAAACAGAAGACAUAGGGUCUGAAUGCAGAAAAGGUAUGUUUGGUGACUUAGAUGAUGGAGAAAGUGGUUAAUCAGUGAACAUGCAAAGCAUGGAAAGGAGAAAAGGAAAGUCAUCCCAGCGGGAGUACCACAACCAACCACCGCACUUCAAACUGACAAAAUUUUCUUUGAUUUAAAACAGGGGCAUAGAAAUGCUAUUGAUGGCGGAAAGGUAUGCUACAGAAGGAUUAUCAAACUGGGGUAGAAAAGUUUUUGUCGUAUUAAAAAUUUUCUUGAAGUUGGAUACCCAUCUGGAGAACAUGAAGGUCAACACAACUUUAUUUUACAAUGAAGAAUAGGGAAAUAGUUUUCAGAAAAGAAACACCAGUUUAAGAAAAGUACUUUUCGGAGGAAUGAAACACAAGCUUUUUGGGAAGUAGUUUUUUAAGGAGGACAACACCAGUUUUAGGGAAGCAGUUCUGAAGGAAGUUAAUUCAAGAAGAUAUACAAAACAAGUUUCGAAGGAAAAUGGUUAAUAGAAAAUCUUAGUCUGAUGAAUUUUUUACCUAAGAUAAAAAAUCUUAGUCUGUUGAAUCUUUCACCUAAGAUAAACGCAUAAGUUGGAAAAAGAAAGGAAUGCAUAAUUUGGGGAAAAAGAAAGGAAGGCACGAUUUGAAAAAGAAAGAAAGGAAUGUUUGAAUUUGAAGGAUUAAGAAAGUCCGAAUUCAAAAAUGGAACUAGUACGAUGAAAUAUCUCCUAGAGUCAAAAACUCAGUCCGAUGAAUCUUCCUCCCGAGAUCACAGAAAAAUUGACCUAGUAUGAUGAAUUAUCUCCUAGAGUCAGAAUCCUAGUCUGUUGAAUCUUUCACCCAAGAUAAAAAUCUUGGUCUGAUGAAUUUUUCACCUAAGAUAAAGAUAAAAAUCUUAGUCUGUUUAAUCUUUCUCCUAAGAUGAUAAUCUUAGUCUGAUGAAUUUUUCACCUAAGAUCAAAGAUAUAAAAGUCUUAGUCUGUUGAAUCUUUCUUCUAAGGUAAAAAUCUUAGUCUGAUGAAUUUUUCACCUAAGAUAAAGAUAAAAAUCUUAAUCUGUUGAAUCUUUCUCCUAAGAUGUAAAUCUUAGUCUGAUGAAUUUUUCACCUAUGAUAAAUUAUAAUUUUAAGGUACAUUUUAUUCUUUAAAUUUUCAAAGUGACUUUUUCAAUCUUAUCACAAUUCAAGUUUUAGUUCUUAUUAGUAUGUGGUAACAAGCACUCAGUUUUUCAAACCGGCGCAGAAAAUUUUCUUCGUUUUGUCUUGUUUUUGGGAAGUCAAGACCC